GCAUGUCUCAGUAUAAGUCAUUUUACGACCAAACUGCGAAUGGCUCAUUAAAACAGUUAUAGUUUCUUUGCUGGUCAAUCGUUAUACGGAUAACUGUGGUAAUUCUAGAGCUAAUACGUGCACAAAGACCCGACUUCACGGAAGGGUUGCAUUCAUUAGAUACAGAACCAUCCCCUUCGGGGUUUUGGAUGAUCCAUAAUGAAUGAGCGGAGCGCAUGGCUUGUGUCGGCGCUGUAGCAUUCAAGUUUCUGACCUAUCAGCUUUCGACGGUAGGGUAUUGGCCUACCGUGGCAUUGACGGGUAACGGAGAAUUAGGGUUCGAUUCCGGAGAGGGAGCCCGAGAAACGGCUACCACAUCUAAGGAAGGCAGCAGGCGCGCAAAUUACCCAAUCCUGAUUUAGGGAGGUAGUGACAAGAAAUAACAGUGCUGUUCUCUUUGAGAAUAUGCAUCUGGAAUGAUUUGCAUGUAAAUAUCGCUUGGACUAUCAAUUGGAGGGCAAGUCUGGUGCCAGCAGCCGCGGUAAUUCCAGCUCCAUUAGUGUAUAUUAAAGUUGUUGCGGUUAAAAAGCUCGUAGUUGGAUUUCUGUUGGGUAUCGCGUGGUCUGCUCCUCGAGUACGUAUCUGCGUCGAUCCUGGCAUCCUCGCAACGCUCUGUGGCAUUAAUUUGCUGCUUGGCUUGCGACUUUUACUUUGAGGAAAUUAGAGUGUUCACGGCAGGCAUUUGCUUUGAAUAUAUUAGCAUGGAAUAAUAACAUAGGACUUCGGUUUUAUUUUGUUGGUUUCUAAGGCUGAAGUAAUGAUUAAUAGGGACAAUUGGGGGCACUCGUACAAAUCCGU
Molecule: ribosomal RNA, 837 nt
Filed under: uncultured Syndiniales
Lineage: Eukaryota; Dinophyceae; Syndiniales
Description: bacterial SSU rRNA
Rfam family: Eukaryotic small subunit ribosomal RNA
Source: RNAcentral